This is a long non-coding RNA of Onychostoma macrolepis, 173 nucleotides long. RefSeq lists it as uncharacterized. The transcript is spliced from 3 exons. NCBI's taxonomy places the organism in Eukaryota, Metazoa, Chordata, Actinopteri, Cypriniformes, Cyprinidae. The record is from RefSeq and is a predicted model, not a curated record.
GCUUCGUCAACUGAAAAAUGAUAAAUUGAUAAAGCCUUGUGCUACAGCUACAGCCACUGACGGUUAAGGGACUGUGAUGCUACCAAGAACCCCUAGCUUGCUUGAAUGUUCAAGCAGCUAAUGAACCGGAAGUCUCACACAGUCACAGAAAACGGUUUACGUCUGCAUUGAAA